Long non-coding RNA from Orbicella faveolata, 1081 nucleotides. NCBI's taxonomy places the organism in Eukaryota, Metazoa, Cnidaria, Anthozoa, Scleractinia, Merulinidae. The record is from RefSeq and is a predicted model, not a curated record.
CGGCAUUUGUGAUAGAACGCUAGUAGAGUUAUACUAAGAGUUUUGGUGGUAUGGCUACGAUAUAGUACAUGACAAUUCCUACUGACUGCAGAUCGUUUUAUCAGGUUUUCAAACAUGUUUUCAAGUAGAUGCGUUCUAAUAGUGUUCCAGACCUAGGUAAAACUUCAUAAAACCCAGUAUUACACGAUGAAGAACCUUGCUUCGAGUUUUAUACAGUUAUACUGUUUAUUGAACUCUUUGGCUUAUUUUCAGAAACAUUGGCUGGUACAUGAAAUGCCUUGCGAACGUCAUUUACAAAGACAUUCCAAGAUUCCUUGUCGUGUUUUGCAUCAUUUUGGUGACCUUUUCAACUUCGUUCUACAUGGCUAUAAGAGCGGAGAAAAAAGACCAGUUAAGAGAAAGAAUACUUGGCAACAAGUAAGUGUGAAUUCAGCUUGUUAUACCCCCAGCUGAAAUGUUGUUGUUUAUCGGACGAGAACAUAUCACGUGGUGAGAACAUUGAGGGCCUCGAUAAAGCAAAUAAAAUCUCACUGAAAUCAACUGAAACAUAGUUAAUGGUUGAACCCGGAGCUACCCCCUUCCAUAUGCAUAUGCUCUCAUUGUACGAACUACUAAGAUCAAUAGCUAAUUUAAAAAGCUGGAAAAAGAAGUCAAUAGAAGAUUGAGAUUGGAUUCUUUAUUAUUUGCUACAUAGAGUAAUUGACAAUCAAAAAUAAAGAUUCAUAAUUUCUUUGCUGUUUUUUUAGCACGUUCAGAGAUGGGAUCUCUUCUACGUCUAGUAUAGCAUGUGUAGUGUUGGCUGGGGUAAUGACCUGGCUCGAAGGGUCGUCCGUUGCUGGCAACUUGACAGAAGUUGGAUGGUUAGGACCACUGCUGACCGUCUUAUUCAUGAUGAGUGUAACAAUAAUUUUGUUGAACAUCCUGAUCGCUCAACUCUCGCUGACUUACGAGCUGGUCCAGGAAGACUCGUUAAAUUGUUUCACUGCGCUAAGAAUGCAAGCGGUGGCAGCCAUCGAGUGGCAGAGCAGGUUCAGAUUUUGGGUAGGUACAACGAUGACGUUAUAAUAUAUAAAGGAAAAAA